This 879-nucleotide ribosomal RNA is filed under the name Kalmusia variispora. RNAcentral describes it as "eukaryotic LSU rRNA". It matches the Rfam family "Eukaryotic large subunit ribosomal RNA", at positions 66 to 964 of the family's 3401-position model. Lineage: Eukaryota; Fungi; Ascomycota; Dothideomycetes; Pleosporales; Didymosphaeriaceae. The record is from RNAcentral.
CAACAGGGAUUGCCCUAGUAACGGCGAGUGAAGCGGCAACAGCUCAAAUUUGAAAUCUGGCUCCUUUGGGGUCCGAGUUGUAAUUUGCAGAGGGUGCUUUGGCAUCGGCGGCGGUCUAAGUUCCUUGGAACAGGACAUCGCAGAGGGUGAGAAUCCCGUACGUGGGCGCCUGCCUUUGCCGUGUAAAGCCCCUUCGACGAGUCGAGUUGUUUGGGAAUGCAGCUCUAAAUGGGAGGUAAAUUUCUUCUAAAGCUAAAUACCGGCCAGAGACCGAUAGCGCACAAGUAGAGUGAUCGAAAGAUGAAAAGUACUUUGGAAAGAGAGUCAAAUAGCACGUGAAAUUGUUGAAAGGGAAGCGCUUGCAGCCAGACUUGCCCGCAGUUGCUCACCCAGGCUCCGGCCUGGGGCACUCUUCUGCGGGCAGGCCAGCAUCAGUUUGGGCGGUUGGAUAAAGGCCUCUGUCACGUAUCUCCCUUCGGGGUGACCUUAUAGGGGAGGCGCAAUGCAACCAGCCCGGACUGAGGUCCGCGCAUCUGCUAGGAUGCUGGCGUAAUGGCUGUAAGCGGCCCGUCUUGAAACACGGACCAAGGAGUCUAACAUCUAUGCGAGUGUUUGGGUGUCAAGCCCGGGCGCGUAAUGAAAGUGAACGGAGGUGGGAACCCUUUGGGUGCACCAUCGACCGAUCCUGAUGUCUUCGGAUGGAUUUGAGUAAGAGCAUAGCUGUUGGGACCCGAAAGAUGGUGAACUAUGCUUGAAUAGGGUGAAGCCAGAGGAAACUCUGGUGGAGGCUCACAGCGGUUCUGACGUGCAAAUCGAUCGUCAAAUUUGGGCAUAGGGGCGAAAGACUAAUCGAACCAUCUAGUAGCUGGUUCCUGCCGA